RNAcentral lists this long non-coding RNA (1346 nucleotides) under Homo sapiens (human). RNAcentral describes it as "HSALNT0035138". The record is from RNAcentral. Lineage: Eukaryota; Metazoa; Chordata; Mammalia; Primates; Hominidae.
CUUUGGGUUAACCCACCACUAUUUCCUCAAACUCUUCAAUAUUGACUUGUGCUUUGAUUUGGGCCAUCACUUGGGAGUCUCAGUUCCUUAAGGUGACUGCUUGUUAUUCAUUUGCUCUAAUUUCAUCUCUUGUGAGCUGCCAGCUCCCCAACUAGAUAAACUGCAGACCCCACCCCCUAGUAGUCUCGUCUGUACCUCCUAGAGACAUACCUUAGAAGAGGUGUUCUGGGGCCUGGAGAGGCAUUUGGUGCCCUCACAUCUACCUGCCAUACCACAUGCAGGGCAGCCUUUAACAAAGUCCAAUCCUCAGGGUCUGUCCAAGCAAAGGGGGUGGACACAGAGAGGAGAUUAAGGACCCAGACUCUGGAGACACCUGCUUGGCUUCAAAUUCCUGUUCCACGACUUGAUGACUAUGUCUUUGGAUACCUCUCUGGUCCCUGCCAGUGCCCUGGUGGGCCUCAGUUCAUCUUGCCUGGGCAAGUCGAAGGCAGAGCCAAAGGAAACCGGAAAAAGAACUUUCAAAGGCUCAGCGCACGCCAUGACCUCGAGUCCCUCCUCAGGAUGAAGACCACUUACAGCGGGCUCUUGGAGAGCAGAGCUAUGAUGCGGAGGCCUGCCCCGGGGCUGGCUACACCAUGCUGCCUGGCAGCCUCGCUUGCCUGGCCCAUCAGGCCAAGAAGUGAAUGCUGCUUCUGGGCUCUCAGAACAGCAGCGCCUGGCAGAGUGCGUGCUUGGUGAAGGACAGUUGUAGGUGCCGCUGUGGUCGUCCUCUAACAAGGAAGGCAGAAUCUACUGUAGGAGAGGGGAACCCCACCCAGGACUAGGACCUUCCCCUGCCCACAACCUGCAGCAUCUCCAGAAGGUGGUGUUGCUCUGGCCAGAGAACUCCCUUGGUGUGGGAGCCCCGGCAAUGUGACGAAAGAACGAGGACUUCGGAAGGGCUCAUCAAAAUUUCGAAGGGCAGAGAUAACUUAGCUUGUGGCAAUGAAUCGUGUCAACAAGUUAGAACCACACCAAUUUAAAAGAACCAACCUGAAGCUCAGAACCUGGCCCCCUGCCACUUCCUCCAGAGCCAUCUAUUUUUAGGGCCUCUUAGGAUCCACCCUGUCCCCUCCAUACCACUUCUUUCCUCAUGUAACCCCCUGCCUGUCUUUUCCAACAGGCCAGAAUAGCACACCAAAAAGGGCUGCUUGUGACUGUGAGAAUCGGGUCCCUCACACAUCCAGCCAGCCGUCCCACUUUCUCUGAGCGCCUAUACUGUGCCCAGCAUGUGCCAGCCCUGGUGGCAAAGCAAGGACGAAAAGACAGACUCCAGGCCCUCAAGGAGCUUAGAGUCUUCAUUUGAA